CUGGAAAUCCUGCUGCAUGUUCAGUGAAAGUGCUCUUCUAGGAGAUUGACAGGUUCUUGUACUGCUAGUACUAUACCUUUCCAUAAUGGAUUGUUGUUUUCACCAUAUUAAGUGUUUCUUUUGUUGGUGUUUAUACAUUGACCAUAUAUUUUUCUACAGAAUAAAAGAUUCUGACGGGUAAAAUAUCAUGUAACAAAAGAUUGUGAAAGUGUGUAUUUGGUUAAUAUCUUUAGGCUCAAGACAAG
Non-coding RNA from Pelobates cultripes (western spadefoot toad), 245 nucleotides. NCBI's taxonomy places the organism in Eukaryota, Metazoa, Chordata, Amphibia, Anura, Pelobatidae. The record is from the annotation of a GenBank genome assembly.